RNAcentral lists this ribosomal RNA (484 nucleotides) under uncultured bacterium. RNAcentral describes it as "bacterial SSU rRNA". It matches the Rfam family "Bacterial small subunit ribosomal RNA", at positions 30 to 533 of the family's 1533-position model. The record is from RNAcentral.
AUUGAACGCUGGCGGCAUGCUUUACACAUGCAAGUCGAACGGACCUAGGGGCUUGCUCCUAGGUUAGUGGCGAACGGGUGAGUAAUGCAUCGGAACGUACCGUGUAAUGGGGGAUAACGCAGCGAAAGUUGUGCUAAUACCGCAUACGAUCUACGGAUGAAAGCAGGGGAUCGCAAGACCUUGCGUUAUACGAGCGGCCGAUGUCGGAUUAGCUAGUUGGUAGGGUAAAGGCCUACCAAGGCAACGAUCCGUAGCGGGUCUGAGAGGAUGAUCCGCCACACUGGGACUGAGACACGGCCCAGACUCCUACGGGAGGCAGCAGUGGGGAAUAUUGGACAAUGGGGGCAACCCUGAUCCAGCAAUGCCGCGUGAGUGAUGAAGGCCUUAGGGUUGUAAAGCUCUUUUAGUAGGGAAGAUAAUGACGGUACCUACAGAAUAAGUUCCGGCUAACUUCGUGCCAGCAGCCGCGGUAAGGAUGAGACGU